This 349-nucleotide ribosomal RNA is filed under the name Escherichia coli. RNAcentral's name for it is "bacterial LSU rRNA". It matches the Rfam family "Bacterial large subunit ribosomal RNA", at positions 2599 to 2925 of the family's 2925-position model. Lineage: Bacteria; Pseudomonadati; Pseudomonadota; Gammaproteobacteria; Enterobacterales; Enterobacteriaceae. The record is from RNAcentral.
CGCGAGCUGGGUUUAGAACGUCGUGAGACAGUUCGGUCCCUAUCUGCCGUGGGCGCUGGAGAACUGAGGGGGGCUGCUCCUAGUACGAGAGGACCGGAGUGGACGCAUCACUGGUGUUCGGGUUGUCAUGCCAAUGGCACUGCCCGGUAGCUAAAUGCGGAAGAGAUAAGUGCUGAAAGCAUCUAAGCACGAAACUUGCCCCGAGAUGAGUUCUCCCUGAGACUUAGAGUCUCCUGAAGGAACGUUGAAGACGACGACGUUGAUAGGCCGGGUGUGUAAGCGCAGCGAUGCGUUGAGCUAACCGGUACUAAUGAACCGUGAGGCUUAACCUUACAACGCCGAAGCUGUU